RNAcentral lists this ribosomal RNA (484 nucleotides) under uncultured bacterium. RNAcentral's name for it is "partial 16S ribosomal RNA". It matches the Rfam family "Bacterial small subunit ribosomal RNA", at positions 28 to 507 of the family's 1533-position model. The record is from RNAcentral.
AUUGAACGCUGGCGGCAUGCUUUACACAUGCAAGUCGAACGGCAGCGCGGGCUUCGGCCUGGCGGCGAGUGGCGAACGGGUGAGUAAUGCAUCGGAACGUGCCCAGUAGUGGGGGAUAGCCCGGCGAAAGCCGGAUUAAUACCGCAUACGACCUGAGGGUGAAAGCGGGGGACCGAAAGCCCCCCCGCUUUUGGGCGGGCCGAUGUCGGAUUAGCUAGUUGGUGGGGUAAAGGCUUACCAAGGCGACGAUCCGUAGCUGGUCUGAGAGGACGACCAGCCACACUGGGACUGAGACACGGCCCAGACUCCUACGGGAGGCAGCAGUGGGGAAUUUUGGACAAUGGGGGCAACCCUGAUCCAGCCAUGCCGCGUGCGGGAAGAAGGCCUUCGGGUUGUAAACCGCUUUUGUUCGGGAAGAAAUCCUCUGGGCUAAUACCCCGGGGGGAUGACGGUACCGGAAGAAUAAGCACCGGCUAACUACGUG